Molecule: ribosomal RNA, 502 nt
Filed under: uncultured bacterium
Lineage: Bacteria
Description: partial 16S ribosomal RNA
Rfam family: Bacterial small subunit ribosomal RNA
Source: RNAcentral
ACUCAAAUGAAUAGACGGGGACCCGCACAAGCGGUGGAGUAUGUGGCUUAAUUCGAUGCAACGCGAAGAACCUUACCAGGGCUUGACAUGUAUUGUAACCCCGGUGAAAGCCGGGCAGCGUAGAAAUACGCGCUUUACACAGGUGCUGCAUGGCUGUCGUCAGCUCGUGUCGUGAGAUGUUGGGUUAAGUCCCGCAACGAGCGCAACCCUUAUGGUUUGUUGCCACCGGCAUUCGCCGAGCACUCAAAUCAGACUGCCCAGAUUAACUGGGAGGAAGGUGGGGAUGACGUCAAGUCCGUAUGGCCCUUACGUCCUGGGCUGCACACGUACUACAAUGUCCAGUACAAAAUGAUCUGAAACCGCAAGGUGGAAGAAAUCACCAAAACUGGGCUCAGUUCAGAUUGCAGGCUGCAACUCGCCUGCAUGAAGUCGGAAUCGCUAGUAAUGGUACAUCAGCAACGGUACCGUGAAUACGUUCCCGGGUCUUGUACACACCGCCCGU